Molecule: non-coding RNA, 360 nt
Organism: Peromyscus maniculatus bairdii (prairie deer mouse)
Lineage: Eukaryota; Metazoa; Chordata; Mammalia; Rodentia; Cricetidae
Source: RefSeq, a predicted model, not a curated record
AUCAGAGCGUUCGUUGGCAGUUAUCUCCUCUCCUGCCCGCCACACGUUAAGGGCCAGCCCGUGUACCCAUCCUCUUUGUGUCCCCAGUGUUGAGGAGUGAAGAGUACAGAAGAUGGAAAGAACUGGAGUCUCGGCCCUCAAGGUCAGACGGCUUAGCCUGGCAGAGCUCAGCCUGGCAGAGCAGGGCAGAGGCAGCGCCUGCACAGACUCACAGAUGCUUCCUACUUCCUUGCUGUGAGACCCUAGGAGAGUUUGUUCAUGCCUUCUCAUCCUUGGCUUCCUCCCCCUAAAACAGUGAGACGACACCACCUUCCUCACAGGCUUGCUAGAGCCUUAAAUAAAAAUUUUAAAUGUGCUGAA